GUACGGAGCAAGCGUUGUUCGGAUUUACUGGGCGUAAAGGGCGCGUAGGCGGCAAAUUAAGUCAGCUGUGAAAUCUCCGAGCUUAACUCGGAACGGUCAGCUGAUACUGAUCUGCUAGAGUGCGGAAGGGGCAAUCGGAAUUCUUGGUGUAGCGGUGAAAUGCGUAGAUAUCAAGAGGAACACCUGAGGUGAAGACGGGUUGCUGGGCCGACACUGACGCUGAGUGCGCGAAAGCCAGGGGAGCAAACGGGAUUAGAUACCCCGGUAGUCCUGGCCUUAAACGAUGAAUACUUGGUGUCUGGAGUCUCUAUAGCUCCGGGUGCCGUCGCUAACGUUUUUAGUAUUCCGCCUGGGGAGUACGCACGCAAGUGUG
Molecule: ribosomal RNA, 373 nt
Filed under: uncultured bacterium
Lineage: Bacteria
Description: bacterial SSU rRNA
Rfam family: Bacterial small subunit ribosomal RNA
Source: RNAcentral